GUGAUUGGAGUUACCUUGGAAGAAGUUCCUGGAACAAAGAAACUGUUAGCAGUAGAACGCCAUUCAUGUUUUCUAAAUAGAGUAUAACUAUAUAUGCUUAAAGAGUGCAGGCCAUAGUUAAAUAUAUCUAACUUGUUUAAAUUCAGUAAAAAAAUUUCUAUUGAGCCAAGCACACUUAACCCAUUACCUGCUCUGUCUUACAUUUAUACGUGGAUCCAGAGCCCAGUUUCAACCCCCCGUCAAAUUUGACAGCUGUUCAUUUGCAGGAUCUUGGUUGAGCCUGUGGUGUUUGUAGUUAUGAUUCUAUUUUCUGUGUAGGGCACUUUUAAAUGUAAGAAAUCAGUCUGCCCACCAGGGGGCAGGGCUAUGCGGAAAGUGGAGAUGGGAAUAUCAUACAGAGAACAACCCUGGACGAUAAUCCAGAAAACAACAGGCCCUUGGCUUCAUUCCUGUCCCCACCCCUGAAAUCAGCAGAACCUGAUUCAUUUGGAGUGUCUUCUGCUGAGUCCCCAGCAGAUGGAGUCAAUGGCAUAGAGGUGGCACUCCUCCUUCUCUGUCCUCAGGGUUGUUCUACCCAGCUUGAAUCUUCUCCAAGGCCCUAAGCAAUAGGGAUGACUUGGGCCAAAAAAAAAUUUUUUUUUCAAACCAAACAAGUGGUGUUCAAUUUCAUUCUAUCCCAUGACAUGCCCCAUCUGUUUUGAUAGCUUCUCAGCUUGGGUCUAGUCAAGUUAUUGUUUCAUUUCCAGUUCUGUAUUUGUAACCAAUGUAUUCAGAAAAAUAAAGUAUGUCUAAUUGAUAAACUAUUGGAAAAU
Molecule: long non-coding RNA, 812 nt
Filed under: Chrysemys picta bellii (western painted turtle)
Lineage: Eukaryota; Metazoa; Chordata; Testudines; Emydidae
Description: lncRNA (ENSCPBG00000024987.1)
Source: RNAcentral